GUAAGGCUCAUAACAGUUCUCAUUACAUUCUCCAAUGUGGUUGAUGCCUUAUGCCAGAGCGUAAUUAAGUAAAAGCAACUGCAUACAGGGUCAGAACAAUGUGGUCCAGAAUCACAGCUUUCUAUUAAUCUGGAUUGUUCCAGGAACAGACGUGCUUCAUGGCUCUGGGGACUGCUUCUCUCAAUCAAGCUUUUGUUGAACACUAAAUGGCAGAGAGUUCAAGCAUGCGUCUGUGGAGAAAUUUGCAGAUCAAAAUUUUCAGUUGAGACGUGUUUCUGGAAGUCUCAUAGUCCAAGCAUGUUUCGAAUAACCAAGAUGAAGUCUCUAAAUGCAGUGAUGCUGACUUUUCUGUUCAAAGAGGAAACCACUGACCAAGGAGGGACUGAGGUGGUUUCCAGUAAGGCGGAUGGAAGGAGGUGUCUCUUCCCAUGGCCAGGCAGUGACACACAGAUCGAGGCUCAGAGCAAAACCAUCCUGAAGGUCCGCUGGCUGUGA
Molecule: long non-coding RNA, 495 nt
Filed under: Ursus maritimus (polar bear)
Lineage: Eukaryota; Metazoa; Chordata; Mammalia; Carnivora; Ursidae
Description: lncRNA (ENSUMAG00000008963.1)
Source: RNAcentral